This 252-nucleotide ribosomal RNA is filed under the name uncultured bacterium. RNAcentral's name for it is "partial 16S ribosomal RNA". It matches the Rfam family "Bacterial small subunit ribosomal RNA", at positions 524 to 775 of the family's 1533-position model. The record is from RNAcentral.
UACGAAGGGGGCUAGCGUUGUUCGGAUUUACUGGGCGUAAAGCGCACGUAGGCGGAUCGUUAAGUUAGGGGUGAAAUCCUGGAGCUCAACUCCAGAACUGCCUCUAAUACUGGCGAUCUAGAGUCCGGAAGAGGUGAGUGGAACUCCUAGUGUAGAGGUGGAAUUCGUAGAUAUUAGGAAGAACACCAGUGGCGAAGGCGGCUCACUGGUCCGGUACUGACGCUGAGGUGCGAAAGCGUGGGGAGCAACAGG